This 246-nucleotide ribosomal RNA is filed under the name uncultured bacterium. RNAcentral describes it as "partial small subunit ribosomal RNA". It matches the Rfam family "Bacterial small subunit ribosomal RNA", at positions 26 to 285 of the family's 1533-position model. The record is from RNAcentral.
AGAAUCAACGCUGGCGGCGUGCCUAACACAUGCAAGUCGAACGAGAAAGUGGAGCAAUCCAUGAGUAAAGUGGCGCACGGGUGAGUAACACGUGACUAACCUACCCUUGAGUGGGGAAUAACUUCGGGAAACCGAGGCUAAUACCGCAUAACACCUACGGGUCAAAGGAGCAAGUUCGCUUAAGGAGGGGGUCGCGGCAGAUUAGUUAGUUGGCGGGGUAAUGGCCCACCAAGACAGUGAUCUGUA